Molecule: non-coding RNA, 5373 nt
Organism: Equus caballus (horse)
Lineage: Eukaryota; Metazoa; Chordata; Mammalia; Perissodactyla; Equidae
Source: RefSeq, a predicted model, not a curated record
AUGCAUAUGUGUGUCUAUACAUGUACACAAAUAUACACCAUACAUACACACGUAUAUAUGCUUGUGUGUGUGAGUGUGUAUGUGUACAUGCCACAUCGAACAGAGAAAUGUCUGGUUGCUUAUCAAGUGUCCAGGUAAUAGGAUGCAAUUUGGGGUGACUUGACUUUCGUUUUUGUACUUUUCUGUAUUGUUUGGAUUAUUUAAAUAAUAAGACUGUGCCGUUUUCCCUAAAAGGAUAAAGGCAUUUUUAAAUUAAAAAUACAACAACUCGAAAAUAUAGUUCUGCUGUGUGAGUUGAUAAAUGUGAAGUGCUGGGAGCGUGUUUGGAAGACAGUCAGAGCUGAACAAGCAUUGGCUGUUAUUGUCCUGCUCGUUCCUACGUGGCAGACCCUGCUCUAAAUACUUAACGUGUAUUUUCUCCCUUAAUCCUUACAGAGACUGAGACACAGACAGGUGAUGCCACAGAUCACAGAGUUUUAAAGUAAGAAGACCAUAUUUUACAGACAAAUGUCUUUUAAUCCCUUUAACAUAAACGGCUAUUCAAAAUGCCUUAGCCUGUAUUUGUAUAAAAACUCAUUGCUGAGGAUAUUCUCAACUGAUACUAUGAAUAUGUAACUGCUUUAUAUGAUUCAAAAGGAUUACCUAUAAAUUCUCAUAAGGUUUCUAGAAGCAUCACUUUAAAAUAAAUGAGUUAAAAUAACUAUACAUUCUAAGACCUAUAUAAGUCAUAUAGUGAACUAAAAUUUGUACUUUAAACUUGGUAGCAAAAUUACCAAUAACAGUACCAGUUCGCCCUUGAAUAGUGAUUUAUAGUUUACAAAGCGCAUUCACAUACAUUGGCUCACCCUGAUCUCCACAACCACUGAGGGAAGCAGUCGAGUAGGGUAGACAUUAACAUCCCUGCUUAUAGUUGAGGAAGCUGAAUCAGAUAUGUAAGCAUCAAUUAGAAUGUCUUUGGCCACAAGGAAAAAAACUUAACUCUACCUGGUUUAAACAAUACGAGAAUACAUUGGCUCACCUACCUCCAUGCCCAGAGGUGAGGUGGUCUUCAGGGUUGACACAAUCUAGCUGGCUAGACUCUAUUUCUCUGAUAUUCUCUUGGUUCUGCCCCUCACCAAACUUUGGCUCCAUCUUCAGCCUGACAAUUAAAUGGCUGCUAUAGUUCUGGGGCUCAAAGCCAUAAACAACAAUGCCAGAUGAAAAGGCCAUUUCUUUCCGCAGCUUUAUCCUGCAAACUAGGAAAACUGUCCUUAGAAGUCCUUAGCAAACAUCUCCUCACUUAUCGUUGGCCCAGAUUAAUUCAUAUGUCCAUUCCUGAAUCAAUUAUUGGCAAGGGACACGGGAUUACCUUUAGAUGAAUCAAGACACCUGAUGAAACGCCGGGCUCUGUUAGGAAGGAGGGAAAAAGGGAAUGAUAAUGAAUAUUAGUUGAGCACUAUAACCUGGGAAAGAGGCCAACUCCUCUAGGUAAAGCUCUGGACCUAAGAGUACCAUUGAGACCAAGAUGGCAGGAUUCGGGCCCCUCAACUCCCACCUCUUCAUAUAACAGCCUCAAUUGGUUCGUAUUUUCAUUAGAUGAGGAUGCUCAUUUUUGGCUUCUAUGGGGGCAUUCUUAAAAAAAAGUUUGAAUGUGGUAAUUCCGUACGCCUGAGUUUGCAAGACUGAACUUGGACGGACUGGUAAAUAUUUGCCUUGAAAGCCACAUUCUGACAAAUCCCUCAGAAGUAUUCUUCUUUUUUUUAUUAUAAAAUAUUUCAAGGAAUAAAAAACAAAGCUUUAAAAAGCCUUCACAUUACACCAUAUUUGCACUGGACUUUUAAAGAAAAAAAUACCGCAGUUGUAGUUGAAGCUCCCUGAGUAUGUCUUCCAGAACCCAUUGUCCUUUCUCCCUCACCGGAGGAAACCACAGUCCUGAAUUCGAUGUCCAGUUUCAUGUGGAUGUUUUUAUACUUUUACUAGUAAGUAUAGAUCUGAGAUAAAUAUACAUAGUAUCGUUUUGAAUAUGUGUGUGUGUGUGUAUAAGUGGUAACCUGAACAUGUCCUUCUGCAAUGACACUUUUUGCUCAAGGUUGUUCUUGUGUUGUUCUCUAUUGAGAUAUAUGGUGUAAGUUCACUCACUGGUAAUUGCAAUAUAGCCCCUUGUUCAAAUACGCUACAACGCAUUAUCCACUCUUCUGUUGAUGGAUAUUUUGGUGGUUUUCUCUGUUUCGCUAUUACAGAGCUAUUGUGAACUUUCUAGCAGAUAUCUCACAGUGCACACGCAGAAAAGUUUGUCUGGUGGUGUGUAUCUUGGAGUGGGAUUAUUGGAUGUGUUCUUCUUCAACCUGAAUAGACAGUGUCAGAUUGCUGCCAAUCUGACGGCUGUGACAUGGAAUUGCAUUGCUGGUUUCAGAAGUAUAAUAAUUUCUUUUUUCCCUUAUAUUUCUUAUGCACUUGAAACUCUCCAGUUUCUCAAAUUGAUUCCAUUUUUUCCCCCAUAUUGGAAAUUUGUAUUCUUUCCUUUAUAAUGGAAAAUUGCAGUGGUUAUUAUGAGUUCAUCUUGAUAUAUCUUAUUUAAGUUAGCCUCUUUUGUCCUUUGAAAUAACUUUUAUUACUUAUUAGACAUAGAUAAAUGACAAGGAGAGAAAAGAAAUACAGACACAUAUAUAGACACUUGUCAUUUUCUCUCCAAAUUGUUAUUUUAGAUAAGGCAAAUUUUUCUUGAUAAUUUCUUGCUCACUUAACUAAGUAUAUAAUGUUAUCUGAAUUUUUGUAUUUUGUAUGUAGAAUAGCAUAUGUCUCCUUUUCUUCUCAGUGGAGAAAUUCCAAGAUCAGAAGAUUUAAGAAUAGUAUUGAUAACCCAUUGGUUUCAUUAGUAUUUGGCAAUCCUGUCUAGUAGAAUCCUUGGACUUGCACCCGGAGUGGAGAGAUGACAUUACUGAACGAUGCCACUUUAGCAUCUUAAAGCACCACUCUCUUUUUAUACAGCGUCUACCUAAGAGAUUCAGCUGCACUCGGAUACGCUUGCGGCGAGCUCCCUGAAGAGUUUCCCUGUGCUUGGAGGAAGAAGUAACGUCAGUAAAUCAAAAUUUACACCCUGUUGACCUUGGAAAUACAAAGGCAACACAAUAAACCAACAUGAGGUCAUGUUUCCAUUCUGGUUGAGGACAGGGGAACAUUUAAUCCUGAGCAGAGUGAGGGAGACAGGAGGAAAUAAAAUGCAUGCUGACUGAGACGGUACUGUUUUCUCUUGCAGUUUGCUCUGCAAGAUCCAGUUGGGAAAGGAAGAAGCAUUUAUUUCUCUUGCUUUCCACACAUACCUUUGAAGUGUCUUAGCAUCAAAAGAAACACCCAGCCUGAAACUAUAUUUUCUUUACUCAAAACGUGUGGUAGUCUCAAGAUGACAGCUAGAUUUUUCUGGCAUGAACAGUAAAGGUCAACUUUGGCAAUGUUCCAUUAAUACAUGACUGCAAACAUUUUUAUACAUAAGAGCCUACAGGCAUUCGAACAUCGACUGUAAUUGAAAACCAGAUGUUGUGAGAAAAACCCUACAAGCCGCUACUUCCAAAUUAAAAACCACCUAGGUCUUUGUCCGGGGCCUCAGUGGCCGCAGUUUCCACCUCAGACCUCUGUGGUGCUCCUGCUGGGAUUUGGAGGUUUGCUCAGAAUCUUCCAUUCAUCUAAUUAGUCCUUUGGGAGAAAGAAAGAUGAAAGGAAGGGAGGGCAGGAGACACAGAGAUGCUUCACAUGGCUGUUUAGACCACGAAUGUAGCUCAUCUAGGAAAGAACUGGUGACAUGAAAAUAAUGAAACAGAAGGAUUGAGCUCUGUGAAUUGAGAGGUUUUGUCUUCAUUUAGAUAAAGUCACCAUUAAGCCACUCCUAUUUCCUUACUCUUAACUAAGGUGGAAUCAGGAAAGGAAAUGCAAAGUUGGGUCACCUUUUCCAAAUGGCUUCAGAAAAACUUCCCUAAUCAGGGGCCCCCAAAAGGAGGAAAUAUACUGGGGUGUAUAAGGCCUUGGUAGAUGAAGUGUGAGGAAUUUCUCUCUUGCCACCUGAUUCCGGUUAGAAAUUCACUGGCUGUGUCGCUGACUGAACAAAACAGAGGAUAAUAGCCGCUGGCUGAAGAUUUUAUAAUUGAAGCUGAGACAGAGUGGGCCAUGUGCAUGUUUAGAACAGUGAUUGCAUUGUGAAUUACAACAGAAGUCCCACUUGUCAGUCACACAAACGUUUAAGAGCAUAGAAAGGCAUCUGAUUUGGGACAAGGAUGACAAAAUAGAUCUUUUGGUUUCUCCCACUUUGCCCUGAGUACAAAGGGACUGAUGACUGCUUUGUUCUGGGAUAGAGUUUUAAUUCCUCUUAGGAUCUACCCAAUUAUUAACAGAGAAAGAAAAUUCCUGUCUGGAACCACUCCUACCACUUUCCGAAAGAAGUAAUCUUUAGUCCUCAUCAUCCAAUGAGAGAAAGAGAGUAAUAUAAAUGAUAUCGUGCCAGAUUUUUUGCUUUGUUUAUAAUCAUUACUUUUCCUCAUGUAUCUUUAGUGAUGUCUCAAUGUUAAACAACUGUAGUAAACACUGUUAAGAAACAUGGCUCUAAUUUGACAAUAUCAGUCAACAUUUAAAAUGCCUCUACCCUUUGAACCAGGAAUUACAUUUUUAAGAAUUUCUUUAACAGAUAAACUGAGAGAUGUGGAAAAUGAUAUAUUUACAAAGAUAAGCUUGGCAGCAUUGUUUGUAACAUCCAAAGAGUGAAAACAACCCAAAAGUUCAUCAACAGAUCAAUUAAAUAAAUUACUGUAUGUUUACACAAGGAAAUGGAGUAUCAGAUUAAAGUCUGGUUCCAGUCCUUGUCAUGAGCCUUGGAACUCUGAAGUUUUUUAGUCUUUCAUUGAUCCGCUUAAUUAGUUGCACCCCUAUUUAAGGAAGUUACAAACAUUAGGCAUUGAGGGAUUGAAGACAUGGGUGCUUUGCCUUCAGCUCUGGUUAGUAGUAACGGAAAAUUAUUAAUACUGAUGGGAGAAGAAAGUAAGGAAUCUUGACUAAUUCUGGAUCAUCUCUAAACAGCUCAGUGGCCAUGUUAACAGGCUGUUUUCUAGAUUUACAGGAUGCACCGAUGCCUCUUGGGUACAUUAUACUUCUUAGGUCAAGAGGACUCCCAUGAUGUUCUUCGAAUGGCUAGAGUUUUAUAGCCAUUUGAUCACAAUGCAUAAAAAAGGUUAAAGUGAAUAUUUUCAUCUCUCACUCAUGAGUCCUUUAACCACAGGGUCUAAGAAACUCCUGGAUAUAACAGAAAUGGAAGAACCCCAUUUAGUCCUAUUGUUGACAUGCCGCAAAGAGAAAACUAUUUUGUUAGAAAUAAAUCUGUGGGGGCCGGCCCAGUGGCGCAGCAGUUAAGUU